GCCCACGCAAUCGUCCGUCUCCCCCACACGAAGCACUCCUCCGUCUCCAACACAAUCCGCCGCCGCUUUCUCCUCCCAUCUCCGUCUCGCACCCCGUCGCUUCCGCCGUCGGCCGAUUGAUGAGUGCUUCCCGAAUUCUUCGUCCGCCGUCCCUCCCCGCACUCACGCACGCGUACUCCCCGCAAUCUUCCUCGCUCGCCUGGUUUCUGGUUCGUGAUCGAUUCAGAGCGGAGCAGGGGAUCCAUUGAUGUAAGGUUCAGCUUCCAAUCCAUCCAGGCCGCCGGCCAGUCCACCGAGGGGAGAUUCCAAGCUGUCCACGCGAAACCCUAGACGCCGUAGGGAUGGAGCAUCUCCGCCCCCUCGCCCAGUUCUUGCUCGCCUCAGCUCGCGGGGAUGGAGCAGGACGGCGCCGCCCGUCCCCUCGCACCAGGCCCAGGACGACGGCGCCGUGGACGGCUGGGCGCGCGACGGCACGGAGUCCCCCCUCCCUCACGGCGCCCCGGCAGAGUGCCCCGAGGCCGCAGAUCCUCCUCCCCUCCGCGGCUACGUCUCCUCGGCCGCUCGUGCGCGACCCUCAACUACUGCAGCGGUGGGAGGAGCCCUGCGACGACAUGCUCCCGCGACCCUGCAUCCGCAAGAAAGCCAUAUGGAUUGGGGAUAUGUACCUCGGUUUGGGUUUAAAGGGGCAAUCUUUGAGCAUUUGUAUAUCAACUAUCGAGGAUCUCAAGUUGACAUGGACCGCGCACUAUGAUCAAGUGCAUUCUGGUGCUAUGAUGAUUGUGACAGAAGAUGUUAGCUGCAGAAGCAAUCGCUAUGUCUCAGUUCCAAUAUUAAAAAUCAGUGCACCUGAAUUACAACACAAUUUUUGUCAUCUGGAACUGCGCUUAUAAGGUGUUUGGUCUGAAAGCUACGCUCCUGAAUACAAUGUGAUAUAAAAGGUUCAUGAAAUCAUCAGGUAUGGAAAUGCUUGACCGUUUUUGUAAAUUACUUAGUACAAUAUUAUCAGUUUGUUUUUUGCAUUAUUUCCCAGUUCUCUUGCAGUACUAUUCAACAACCUAUCUUCCUGCCUACUAGAUAAAAGAGGGGUUUUGUUUACUUAACAUGGUUGCCUGAUUAACAUAGUCAUCGUUUCUGUUAGUUAUUUUUCCCCCUACCGAAGCAACAACUUAUCUUCCUACCUACCAGAUAUACUACUCCUUGAUUGCUUAGCUCCCGGCUCAAGAAGCUUCACCAUUCUUUUAUAUAAUAUUAGAAAAAAAAUUGAGUUCUAACUUUGUUGAAAGACACACACAGUUCUGAUGUUCUGGGGCCAAUGUUCAUUUCUAGAGGCAAAUACUCUCGGAUUUCUUAGUGAACUAUAAUCCCAUCUAGAUACCCCCCCUCGAUAUAGCUCCCUUUAUUUUCACGACACAAUCUAGCAUAUGACGGCUCUGAUUUGGAUUGUGCGUGUUUCUCCAAAAACUAGGAUUAUAUGCCUGAGAACAAACAAAUAGCAUUACAAACUUACCUCAAAGCCUAUGGGUUGACUGAAGCUUGAUAAAUAGUUUCAGAUGCACUAUGGUCUCAUAACAGUAGAAAUAAACUUCAAGGGAAAGAGAACCAUAAGUAUAGGUGACUGCAUAGUAGUUGGGCACUUGGAUUUGUGAUAUUUUGACCUAAGCUUAGUGGCUUGUAUGUGCCCCAUAUGAAUAUGAGCCAUGGAGAUGAUACAAAUGGAUCGGAGUUGGUAGACUUCGAUGAUUUUGCUAAUCCUCUCCAAAUCAUCAUGGUUGUGGAGGGAAAACUAGGCAUGACUCAACCCAAUGUACAAGAAGAAAUAUGAUUUUGACCAUGCGAAUGGAAAUACAUGUACAUGCCACCUUGCAAGAGGUUAUUGAGUGCAGGCAACCCUGUGUUGGUGAAGGACCCAUCCUUGGCACCGGGGAAAUGAAGUGACAGGGGUCUUAAGACUGUUAGGACAAAAUUGGGACGAGUGACUCAGCUCAGGGUUCCUCUUUGCAUGUUCAAGUGAAAAGGCGGAGGAUGGCAGGGCGUGCUGCUCUUGAUAGCGUUUGCAUCGCUUCUUCAUACCUCUCGUGCACUCGUCGUUUCCCGUCUAUUCGACUUGGCGUCCUUACCAUGUUUGAGGGUUAUGUGUCACGCACUUGGUUCCGCAUCCCACGUUCCCUUGCUAGGAGUCCCUAGCCUUGGCGACAGGUAGCGACGUGCACUUGGGCGCUUGGCCUCCUUGGGUAAGUUCGGGGUUGGUGCCCAAGCUUGCAGCUAUGGCGACAACUUGCAUGGGAGCAGAUGAUGUAGGAACAAGGCAGCACACGAGUAACUCGCAGCCAGGGAAAUGAUACCUAGCCGAACAUGCAGGCAAUGGAGAGUACACGGGAGGUGUGGGUAGGGGUGAAAACGCUGCCGGGAGCGUACUGCUGCUGCUGUUAGUUAGCCUUUAGAUCCAGAGUCAAGUGGCGAGGGUAUGACGAUAGGGGAAGCGGGGAAGAUUCCUUCCUUUGAAGAUUGAAGCUGGAGAACUUUCGGGUGUAGUAUGAUCAACCUAAGAUAUAUCGGAUUUAUAUAUGUAUAGUAUGGUUGGCAUGAGUGCGGUAUUGGUGGACUAUUAGAUCAUCUUGGACAUUACUACUUGGAUUCUAGGUUGGAGGUAACUUGGGCACUUGGAUUUGUGAUAUUUUGACCUAAGCUUAGUAGCUUGUAUAUGCCCCAUUGGAUCAUCUUGGAUACUACUACUUGGAUUCUAGGUUGGAGGUAGCUUGGGCAAUUGGAUUUGUGAUAUUUUGACCUAAGCUUAGUAGCUUGUAUGUGCCCAUAUAUGGAUAUGAGCAUGGAGAUGAUACAAAUGGAUCGGAGUUGGUAGACUUUGAUGAUUUUGCUAGCCCUGCCCAUAUGUAUUGGACUUAGAUAACUAUGAUACUAGGCUUGGUUGGAUUAUAAUUAUGAUUUUUGCUAGAUUCCUUUGAAGAUUGAAGCUGGAGAACUUUAGGGUGUAGUAUGAUCAACUUGAGACAUAUCAGAUUUAUAUAGGUAUAUAUGAUUGGCAUGAGUGUGGUAUUGGCGAGCUAUUGGAUCAUCUUGGAUAUCACUACUUGGAUUCUAGGUUGGAUGUAACUUGGGCACUUGGAUUUGUGAUAUUUUUACCUAAGCUUAAUAGCUUGUAUGUGCCCCAUAUGGAUAUGAGCAUGGAGAUGAUACAAAUGGAUCAGAGUUGGUAGACUUUGAUGAUUUUGCUAGCUCUCGUGUAUUGGACUUAGAUAACUAUGAUACUAGGCUUGGUUGGAUCAUGGAGAUUUUGUGCUAGAUUCCUUUGAAGAUUGAGGCACUACCUGGAAUCUAGGUUGGAGGUAACUUGGGCAGUUGGAUUUGUGAUAUUCUUUACCUAAGCUUAGUAGCUUGUAUGUGCCCCAUAUGGAUAUGAGCAUGGCGAUGAUACAAAUGGAUCGGAGUUGGUAUACUUUGAUGAUUUUGCUAGCUCUCCUCAUGUGUAUUGGACUUAGAUAACUAUGAUACUAGGCUUGGUUGGAUCAUAGUUAUGAUUUGUGUUGGAUUCCUUAAUUUGAAGAUUGAAGCUGGAGAACUUUAGGGUGUAGAGUUAUCAACGUGAGAUAUAUCGAAUUUAUAUAGGUAUAGUAUGAUUGAAAUGAGUGUGGUAUUGGUGGUCUAUUGGAUCAUCUUGGAUAUCGCUACUUGGAUUCUAGGUUUAAGUUAACUUGGGCACUUGGAUUUGUGAUAUUUUGACCUAAGGUUAGUAGCUUGUAUGUGCCCCAUAUGAAUAUGAGCCAUGGAGAUGAUACAAAUGGAUCGGAGUUGGUAGACUUCGAUGAUUUUGCUAACCCUCUCCAAAAAUGUUAUGUACAAGAUCAUCAUGGUCGUGGAGGGAAAACUAGGCAUGACUCAACCCAAUGUAUAAGGAGAAAUAUGAUUUUGACCAUGCAAAUGGAGAUACAUGUACAUGCAGUGCCAACGAAAAAAAUGUUAAUUUUGGGGAUUUUGGUACGAAGCCACCUUGCAAGAGGUUAUUGAGUGUAUGCAACCCUGCGUUGGUGAAGGACCCUUCCUUGGCGCCGGGGGAAAUGAAGUGACAGGGGUCUUAAGACUGUGAGGGCAAAAUUGGGACGAGUGACUCAGCUCAGGGUUCCUCUUCGCAAGUUCAAGUGAAAAGGCAGAGGAUGGCAGGGCGUGCUGCUCUUGAUAGCGUUUGCAUCGCUUCUUCAUACCUCUCGUGCACUCUUCGUUUCCCGUCUAUUCGACUUGGCGUCCUUACCUUGUUUGAGGGUUAUGUGUCACGGACUUGGUUCCGCAUCCUACGUUCCCUUGCUAGGAGUCCCUAGCCUUGGCGACAGGUAGCGACGUGCACUUGGGCGCUUGACGUCCUUGGGUAAGUUCGGGGGCGGUGCCCAAGCUUGCAACUAUGGCGACAACUUGCAUGGGAGCAGAUGAUGUAGGAACAAGGCAGCACACGAGUAACUCGCAGCCAGGGAAAUGAUACCUAGCCGGACAUGCAGGCAGUGGAGAGUACACGGGAGGUGUGGGUAGUGUGAAAACGCUGCCGGGAGCGUACUGCUGCUGUCGUUAGUUAGCCUUUAGAUCCAGAGUCAAGUGGCGAGGGUAUGACAAUAGGGGAAGCGGGGAAGAUUCCUUCCUUUGAAGAUUGAAGCUAGAGAACUUUCGGGUGUAGUAUGAUCAACCUAAGAUAUAUCGGAUUUAUAUAUGUAUAGUAUGGUUGGCAUGAGUGCGGUAUUGGUGGAUUGGCAUGAGUGCGGUAUUGGUGGACUAUUAGAUCAUCUUGGACAUUACUACUUGGAUUCUAGGUUGGAGGUAACUUGGGCGCUUGGAUUUGUGAUAUUUUGACGUAAGCUUAGUAGCUUGUAUAUGCCCCAUUGGAUCAUCUUGGAUACUACUACUUGGACUCUAGGUUGGAGGUUACUUGGGCAAUUGGAUUUGUGAUAUUUUGACCUAAGCUUAAUAGCUUGUAUGUGCCCCAUAUGAAUAUGAGCCAUGGAGAUGAUACAAAUGGAUCGGAGUUGGUAGACUUCGAUGAUUUUGCUAACCCUCCCCAAAAAUGUUAUGUACAAGAUAACUUGGGCACUUGGAUUUGUGAUAUUUUGACCUAAGCUUAGUAGCUUGUAUGUGCCCCAUAUGAAUAUGAGCCAUGGAGAUGAUACAAAUGGAUCGGAGUUGGUAGACUUCGAUGAUUUUGCUAACCCUCUCCAAAAAUGUUAUGUACAAGAUCAUCAUGGUCGUGGAGGGAAAACUAGGCAUGACUCAACCCAAUGUAUAAGAAAUAUGAUUUUGACCAUGCAAAUGGAGAUACAUGUACAUGCAGUGCCAACGAAAAAAAUGUUAAUUUAGGGGAUUUUGGUACGAAGCCACCUUGCAAGAGGUUAUUGAGUGUAGGCACCCCUGCGUUGGUGAAGGACCCUUCCUUGGCGCCGGGGGAAAUGAAGUGACAUGGGUCUUAAGACUGUGAGGGCAAAUUUGGGACGAGUGACUCAGCUCAGGGUUCCUCUUUGCAAGUUCAAGUGAAAAGGCAGAGGAUGGCAGGGCAUGCUGCUCUUGAUAGCGUUUGCAUCGCUUCUUCAUACCUCUCGUGCACUCUUCGUUUCCCGUCUAUUCGACUUGGCGUCCUUACCUUGUUUGAGGGUUAUGUGUCACGGACUUGGUUCCGCAUCCCACGUUCCCUUGCUAGGAGUCCCUAGCCUUGGCGACAGGUAGCGACGUGCACUUGGGCGCUUGACGUCCUUGGGUAUGUUCGGGGGCGGUGCCCAAGCUUGCAACUAUGGCGACAACUUGCAUGGGAGCAGAUGAUGUAGGAACAAGGCAGCACACGAGUAACUCGCAGCCAGGGAAAUGAUACCUAGCCGGACAUGCAGGCAGUGGAGAGUACACGGGAGGUGUGGGUAGGGGUGAAAACGCUGCCGGGAGCGUACUGCUGCUGCCGUUAGUUAGCCUUUAGAUCCAGAGUCAAGUGGCGAGGGUAUGACGUAGGGGAAGCGGGGAAGAUUCCUUCUUUUGAAGAUUGAAGCUAGAGAACUUUCGGGUGUAGUAUGAUCAACCUAAGAUAUAUCGGAUUUAUAUAUGUAUAGUAUGGUUGGCAUGAGUGCGGUAUUGGUGGAUUGGCAUGAGUGCGGUAUUGGUGGACUAUUAGAUCAUCUUGGACAUUACUACUUGGAUUCUAGGUUGGAGGUAACUUGGGCACUUGGAUUUGUGAUAUUUUGACCUAAGCUUAGUAGCUUGUAUAUGCCCCAUUGGAUCAUCUUGGAUACUACUACUUGGAUUCUAGGUUUAAGAUAACUUGGGCAAUUGGAUUUGUGAUAUUUUGACCUAAGCUUAGUAGCUUGUAUGUGCCCCAUAUGAAUAUGAGCCAUGGAGAUGAUACAAAUGGAUCGGAGUUGGUAGACUUCGAUGAUUUUGCUAACCCUCCCCAAAAAUGUUAUGUACAAGAUAACUUGGGCACUUGGAUUUGUAUUUUGACCUAAGCUUAGUAGCUUGUAUGUGCCCCAUAUGAAUAUGAGCCAUGGAGAUGAUACAAAUGGAUCGGAGUUGGUAGACUUCGAUGAUUUUGCUAACCCUCUCCAAAAAUGUUAUGUACAAGAUCAUCAUGGUUGUGGAGGGAAAACUAGGCAUGACUCAACCCAAUGUGUAAGAAGAAAUAUGAUUUUGACCAUGCGAAUGGAAAUACAUGUACAUGCCACCUUGCAAGAGGUUAUUGAGUGCAGGCAACCCUGUGUUGGUGAAGGACCCAUCCUUGGCGCCGGGGAAAUGAAGUGACAGGGGUCUUAAGACUGUGAGGGCAAAAUUGGGACGAGUGACUCAGCUCAGGGUUCCUCUUUGCAUGUUCAAGUGAAAAGGCGGAGGAUGGCAGGGCGUGCUGCUCUUGAUAGCGUUUGCAUCGCUUCUUCAUACCUCUCGUGCACUCUUCGUUUCCCGUCUAUUCGACUUGGCGUCCUUACCAUGUUUGAGGGUUAUGUGUCACGGACUUGGUUCCGCAUCCCACGUUCCCUUGCUAGGAGUCCCUAGCCUUGGCGACAGGUAGCGACGUGCACUUGGGCGCUUGGUGUCCUUGGGUAAGUUCGGGGCCGGUGCCCAAGCUUGCAGCUAUGGCGACAACUUGCAUGGGAGCAGAUGAUGUAGGAACAAGGCAGCACACGAGUAACUCGCAGCCAGGGAAAUGAUACCUAGCCGAAUAUGCAGGCAGUGGAGAGUACACGGGAGUUGUGGGUAGGGGUGAAAACGCUGCCGGGAGCGUACUGCUGCUGCCGUUAGUUAGCCUUUAGAUCCAGAGUCAAGUGGCGAGGGUAUGAUGAUAGGGGAUCGGGGAAGAUUCCUUCCUUUGAAGAUUGAAGCUGGAGAACUUUCGGGUGUAGUAUGAUCAACCUAAGAUAUAUCGGAUUUAUAUAUGUAUAGUAUGGUUGGCAUGAGUGCGGUAUUGGUGGACUAUUAGAUCAUCUUGGACAUUACUACUUGGAUUCUAGGUUGAAGGUAACUUGGGCACUUGGAUUUGUGAUAUUUUGACCUAAGCUUAGUAGCUUGUAUAUGCCCCAUUGGAUCAUCUUGGAUAUUACUACUUGGAUUCUAGGUUGGAGGUAGCUUGGGCAAUUGGAUUUGUGAUAUUUUGCCCUAAGCUUAGUAGCUUGUAUGUGCCCAUAUAUGGAUAUGAGCAUGGAGAUGAUACAAAUGGAUCGGAGUUGGUAGACUUUGAUGAUUUUGCUAGCCCUGCCCAUAUGUAUUGGACUUAGAUAACUAUGAUACUAGGCUUGGUUGGAUUAUAAUUAUGAUUUUUGCUAGAUUCCUUUGAAGAUUGAAGCUGGAGAACUUUAGGUUGUAGUAUGAUCAACUUGAGAUAUAUCAGAUUUAUAUAGGUAUAUAUGAUUGGCAUGAGUGUGGUAUUGGUGAGCUAUUGGAUCAUCUUGGAUAUCACUACUUGGAUUCUAGGUUGGAUGUAACUUGGGCACUUGGAUUUGUGAUAUUUUUACCUAAGCUUAGUAGCUUGUAUGUGCCCCAUAUGGAUAUGAGUAUGGAGAUGAUACAAAUGGAUCGGAGUUGGUAGACUUUGAUGAUUUUGCUAGCUCUCGUGUAUUGGACUUAGAUAACUAUGAUACUAGGCUUGGUUGGAUCAUCCAAAACAUUAACGUACGCAUCAAGGCCCCUCGCUCGCGCGUGCCAUGUGUGAAGGAAGAGACAAUCGAUUUACUGUGCAGCCAGAUUUAUAUUGUGUACAAAAAACAAAGGUGAUCCACCACGGUUGCAGCGAGCAAGAGGGAAUCGCCUCGAGCCCCUCCCUUCUCAUCUCUCCCACGCAACCUCCAUGGUGGGCGGCUAGCUGGGGUUGCCGCCGCCGCCGCCCCCGCCCCAUCGGCCCAUCCUUGUUCAUCCUACACCGGCCACCGGAGAAGGGGCGUUCCUCAGAUCCUCUUCUCCCCAAACCUUCUCGUCUUCGUGUUCCACCCGUCCUCCAUGAUGGCUGUAGACGGGGCGGGGAAGGGGAUGUCAUCGAGGUGCCGUUCGGUGCCGUUCGGGCGGCGAGUUGCAGAGGAGGGGCGCGGGCAAGAGGAUGGCAUCGAGGGUUCUUGUGAAUCGUGUUGGUCGUUCUGGGGCGUUGGAGUGGGCCAAAUACCUGACGACGGGUAAGAUGGAGGUGUUGUCCGAACAGUGGUUGCUCGGUUGCGACCAUAUGGUGAGGCUCAUUUUCUUCUUUUUGUGAUUGAUUGAUUGUUCACAAGAUAGGUUAGAUUUUUGUGGCAUAUCACUAUGCUUUGUCUGUUGGUGUAGAACUUUUCCUAUUGUAUUAUCAGCUGUGUGACGAGAGGAUAGACCGACCAAUCUGAAGCUGCUACUCCCUUGUAAGUUCCAUGUACUGGGAUUUUACUUCUUGAGUUUUCUCUCUAAAUGGUAGAAUGAAAAGAGGCAAAAGUUAUAUAUGGAUUGAUUCCUGAAGUGCUUAGAUCACACAGGGCAGACUUCAUAGUGGGAGGUGCUUGACUUCCAAUUCCAAGAAACAAUUUUUGACUUCCAAUUCCAAGAAACAAUUUUUAACAUGCUUGAGGGAGCUUAAGGUUCCAUUGACUUUAGUUUCAUCAAAAUCUAUAAUUUGUAGGAAGGUAUUUGUUGCCAAAAGAUGUUGGUCGUUCUACCAUUAGACUGACAAUCCCAUCUUUAAUUUUUACUGCACUUUUAGGAAACUGCAAUUUACAUCUUCUCUCUUUUUAUAUAAACUUGCUAAGAUUAUUUAUUUUUCUUUGGUCUCUCAUCCUACCGUAGCUAUCUAUCUGUUGCAUAAAAAAAAGGGCAACCUGGUGCAUGUAGCUCCCGCUUGCGCAGGGUCCAGGGAAGGGUCCGACCACUUUGGGUCUAUAGUACGCAGCCUUUCCCUACAUUUCUGUAAGAGGCUGUUUCCAGGACUUGAACCCAUGACCUCAUGGUCACAAGGCAGCAGCUUUACCACUGCGCCAAGGCUCCCCUUCAGCUAUCUAUCUGUUGCAUAUGCAUUUAAAAUUAGGCAUUUAAAAUUGGUGAUGUCCCUUUUAGUUUGCUACAUUCUUCGACUAUUUGUUAGGAAACACACUAAUUUCAGAAGAACUAUGCUGAUCUCACCAUAUUUAUUUGGUGGUGUUCGUGUGUUUGAUGUUAUGAUCCUUGUAUUGACAAGUUGUUUGCACCAUGGUCUUUGACUCUGUUUCUGAGAUCAGGUGGCUGGACUACUUUGACUCAUAGUUGAGAUAAUUGCAUUUCAACGGCUGAAACUAUUUUUGCACUAUACUUAUAUUUAAUUAACCUCUGAACAACCAUCUAAAAGACUGCACAAAUCUUCCCGUUUAACCAGUAAAAAAUGGACCUUUAUGUUUUGAAGUUUGAAGAACAUUUACAGUUUGGGAUGAUCUUACUCUUUGUUCAGAGUGAAUUUACUAUUUCAAAUAUAUCCUAUGAUUCGUUGAUAAUGUGUAUUGCAGAUUCAUCAUGUAAUAAAAAAGAGCCUUUGUGAUACAGAACAUGAUUUAAUUAUCUUUUACAACUCCCAUUUGGAUUCGUUCAGUGUCCACAGCUCUAGACAUCGAUCUCAUCUACCUCAUCUGUAUGGUAAUGGUUCAACGGUUAAAUGUCUGUUCUUGGUAGUUUUUUGAGUAUGUCUACUGAAGUUGUAAGUUUUUUGUAUUCUAAUUUGGUUGAGAUACUUAAACAGUGAUUUGUUACUUCACCUGUCGAUAAAUGUAGGGCUAAAGCAAUAACUGGGAAAUCAUGAAUUCCAUGUACUUGUCAUAGCCGAUUCUUUGUUGUUCAGUAGUUUGUUUCAAGAGUGCAGGUCGUUUUUCUAUAAGCUGGAUGAAUAGCUCCCUUGUUCAGUAUGUACUGAAUUUUACUUGCUAUUUUAUUAAUCCUAUUAAGCAAAGAUGCCUUUUCUGCAUUGUCACACAUUAAUGCUCCUAUUUGAAGGACCCAGGAGAAAAUUCAGCGUUUGUACUACUAUGUUUCCAUAGUAGUUAUGCUCUUUCUCUGAAAUAAGAACAAUCAAAUAGAAAUAUAGUGUUGAUUCUUCUCCUUUUGUAACAAUUUGUUCUUAGCUAUAAUAUUAACAUGAAUUGUAUUUGUGAAGUUGUCCCUAAGCAGAACAAGUUGGCAUGGAGCAGUCUGUUCUAAAAGUAAUGUAUCCAUAUGUUACUGCCAAUCAGGUGUUUCCUUUCUUUCUUUACCUGAAGCUCUAUAUGAAUUGUUCUCUGAGUGCAAGUGGUCCAUGUGGAUUUUUAACAUAUCAUGCUAUGUACGAGUGAUGGUUCUCUAUUUCCAGAUUAGAUAUGAUGGAUAGUGUCAGAUUACUGAGCACCAUUUACAUAUCCCUGAAGUUAUAUUACGCUGUUGUGUUAUAUAUACAAAAAUAGUUAUUGUGGAUGCUGAUGCAUGCAACUAUAGGAGGAAAAAAUAAUUGUUUUUGUCGAAGGUCUUGGUUUCUGCGGGAUGGAUCUACGCGUUGCCCUCUUGGGUUAUCAUCCUUGUUUUGCCCAAAAUGACUAAGCUUCAGUUACUCUGUUUUGAUUCCCUAACUCCAGCAUUAUAUGUAGUCGGACUAACCCAGUAGUACUAAUAACACUUUGGUUUCCCUAAGCUUCAAUUUAGUUUUGUUUUCGCAUUACUUCUUUUCCAUAUGGGUUGGAGUGGGAGCUAUGAUAUUCUCUUUUCACGAUAUGAUUAUCUGAAAGAUUACUAAGCAAACAAUUAUUUUUAAUACACAUAGGAUAGGGACAUGAGUUUUAACUUCCUCUGGUUGUGAGGAGAUAAUAAAGAAGCUGAGAGAUCGACUGUUUGAGAAGCGGGUUCAGGAGAUCAAAGCCAACAACAACCUAGGCUUUGAAAAAGAUGUUUACAAUGAAAAACUGAGGAAGUUGUGAUGGACUGAAAGAUUUGCUUGAAGCAAAGGCAUCCACCUGGGAUAUAUAUGGCUAGAAGCUACAGCGAGCAACUGCUUCUUUUCAGCUGCUAAUGAGAUAUUUAUGUGUUCAUAGGUUAUGCCCUUGUUGGUAAGUUUGUGAGUAAGGUGUCGUUUGAGGAGGGCCACAAGCCUAGGAUGAUUUUUUUUACUAUGUUUGGGAACUGAAAUAUUAGCUGCAGAACUAUAUUAAAAUGUGCGUGUGCUAUAUUCAAGCCAAAGAUAUGAACUGGAGUGCAUAUGCAUGCAGGGGAGUGCAUCGGGGCAUCGGGCGGUCGUAUGAGAAGAAGUGCGUUCAGCUGAGGACCCAUGAUGCCAACGGUGUAGAGCCGUUCACCAUCGAGAGGAUCAGGGCUGCCAUUAGGACCUUCGAGGCGAAGCUCAACAUCUCCGCCGCCUUUCUCGACGAAAUCUCCCAAAGGCUCAUUGCCGCUUGCGAUAACUCAUAGCGCUCCUCUCCUUGCCGUGCGGUUGAAGGGAGGCAUCAGAGGCAUGCCGCCGCCGCCAGCGCUGAAACGUGCAGCAAUUUCUAUUGUUGUAUGUUAUGUUGCCAUGCAACAAGAUGCUUUUGUUGAUGGUAUUAUAUUGUUGUGUGUUACCUGUGAUGUGAUGAAACACUGAUGAGAUUUUAGGUUCUUACUCAUGUGAUGCAUCAACAUAAUAAGUUUAUGAAAAUUUACAUGUAUGUGCUAUCCAGAUUAAAAAAGAAGUUGAAAGGGUUGUUCCCUACCUGCCA
This is a long non-coding RNA of Triticum aestivum (bread wheat), 12155 nucleotides long. RefSeq lists it as uncharacterized. Lineage: Eukaryota; Viridiplantae; Streptophyta; Magnoliopsida; Poales; Poaceae. The record is from RefSeq and is a predicted model, not a curated record. The transcript is spliced from 9 exons.